This 463-nucleotide ribosomal RNA is filed under the name uncultured bacterium. RNAcentral's name for it is "partial 16S ribosomal RNA". It matches the Rfam family "Bacterial small subunit ribosomal RNA", at positions 29 to 506 of the family's 1533-position model. The record is from RNAcentral.
ACGCACGCUGGCGGCGUGCUUAACCCAUGCAAGUCGAACGGAAAGGCCCCUUUGGGGGUACUCGAGUGGCGAACGGGUGAGUAACACGUGAGUAACCUGCCCUUGACUUCGGGAUAACUUCAGGAAACUGGGGCUAAUACCGGAUAGGAAUCCUUGCUGCAUGGUGGGGGUUGGAAAGCUUCGGCGGUUUUGGAUGGACUCGCGGCUUAUCAGCUUGUUGGUGGGGUAGUGGCUUACCAAGGCUUUGACGGGUAGCCGGCCUGAGAGGGCGACCGGCCACAUUGGGACUGAGAUACGGCCCAGACUCCUACGGGAGGCAGCAGUGGGGAAUAUUGCACAAUGGGCGGAAGCCUGAUGCAGCAACGCCGCGUGCGGGAUGACGGCCUUCGGGUUGUAAACCGCUUUCAGCAGGGGCGAAGCUUGUGGUGACGGUACCUGCAGAAGAAACACCGGCUAACUACGU